UUAUUCUUAAUGGUUACCUUGUUUAGCGCCCGGUAGUCCACGCACAUCCUCAAAGAACCAUCGUGCUUCUUUUGGAAUAGGACCGGUGCGCCGUAAGGUGCCUUCGAUGGUCGGAUCUUCCCCGUCUCGACCAACUCGUUAAGUUGCUUUCGGAGCUCCUCAAGCUCCGGCGGUGGCAUGCGGUAGGGAGCCAUGGCGGGUGGCUUGGCUCCCGGCUCCAACUCGAUGGCAUGAUCCACCUCCCUCCUAGGUGGAAGCUUGUUGGGCAAAUUUGGUGGCAUCACGUCUUGGUUGGCCUCCAGACGGUUUGGAUGAUCGGUGGUGCGUCGUCCUCUCUGUUCACGAGCGGGCUUUCCUCCUUUAAAGUGGCUAAGAAUGUCGGCUCGCCCCGUCGAACUCCCUUGGCAACUUGCAUGGCCGACAGUUGCCUUGGUUGUGUGCUUUCUUCCUUAGUGGUGCCGUUGAUGGCCGGCACCAUGCAAGGUGUCCCCUUCUCUAAAAUGCAAACCGAAUUGAAACAAGGCAUUGGGAUAGCCAUUACCUUGCGGAAGAAGUCCAUGCCUAGCACCACCUUGAAAUCAUCCAUCGGUGCUACCGAAAAAUCCACUUGGCCCUUCCAAGUGCCUAAGUGUAGCUCCGCGUCUCGUGCUACACCGUUGACCGGUUGUGCUUUAGCGUUAACGGCCUUGAGCCAACCGUCUCGUCUUGCCCACCGUAGGCCAACCCUCUUGGCCUCGUCUUCGGUGAUGAAGUUGUGGGUCGCUCCCGUGUCCACCAUCACCUUUGCUGGGGUACCGUUGAUGCGGGCCUCCACGUACAUCAGCUCCUUGCUUGAUGUUGCCGGCAUCGGAUUAGCCUUUAAGGCGUUCAGAAGUUGGAGUGAUCCCAUGUGGCCUAGCUCCUCGUUUGUGUCUUGCUCGGCCUCUUGUUGUAGGAGUGCCGACAAGGACCCCAUCUUGGGACAUUGACUCAUCGCGUGCGGCCCUUUGCACACGAAGCAUCCUCCUUUAGGCACAAACGACUUCUUCUUCUCUUCAAGUUGAUGGCGUGAGGAUGGCUUGUCUCCUCCCCUCGAGGUUGACGCUCGCCUUGGGUCUCGGUUGUCUCGGUAGUCCCGACCAUGAUUGUCCCGUCUCUCUUCUCCGCCUUUAGUCGGGCUCCACUUCUCUUUUCGCAACGGCUCUCUCGGUUGAUACUCGGUUAAAGACUCGGCGGCGGCAAUAGCUUCAUCGACGGAUUUGAUGUCUCGUCGGUGGAGUUCUUGCUUGGCCCAGCCUUGUAACCCAUCGGUGAAGUGGAAAAGAAGGUCCUCCUCGGAGAGAUUGGGAAUUUGAAGGGUGAGGGUGGUGAACUCCGUCACGUACUCGCGGAUCGAACUUCGUUGCUUGAGUUCCCUCAACUUCCUUCGAGCCUCAUAGACGACGUUCUCCGGGUAGAAGUGUCGCUUGAGUUCCCUCUUGAACUCUUCCCAAGUAUCGAUUCGGCAAAUGCCUUUCUCGAUAUCGGCGUGCUUUCUACGCCACCAUAACAUUGCCGUAUCGGAAAGGUAAAGGGAAGAAGUUCUUACCUUAGUCGUCUCGUCGACUAGACCGAUACCCUCGAAGUAUUGCUCCAUCCUCCAUAGGAAGUUCUCGACUUCCUUGGCGUCCCUUACGCCGUUGAAUCCCGUUGGCUUCGGGCAGUCCACCCUUGGACUCGAAGUAGCGCCAACGUUACCGUUAGUGGCGGCCUUUUUGCACAAGGCCAAGUCGUCGCGCAUCCCCUCGAUGCUCUCUUGGAGGGAUUGGAUGAUGGCCUCCAAUCGAUCCAACCGUUCCUCCCGCAACGCCUCAUUGUCCCUAGACAAAUCGAGUUGCUCGGCGACGUGAUUCUCCAACACUCCCGUAUCGUGCUCGAGCUUCUCGAAUCUUUCGCUAAGCUCCGCUAUGGCGAUGUUAUUCUCGAGCCUCUCGAGUCUUUCGCCAUGAUCCGUUAGCACGGCCUCGGUACUGGUACUCUCCCCACGAGCCUUGCUGUGGUCCCUCUUCUUCUUGUUGUUUACGUGGGCCUCCCUGCCACGUCCCUCGGUCACGUACGAAAUAUCUUCAACGUUCGCCAUCGUUGAGAAUUCGAUCAACACAAAGCCCUUAGCCGGGCUCUGAUACCACUUGUCACGGACUUGUUCCCUUAACAAAGAACCGUGCGGCCUUAGCUCCUUCUCGCCCCUCGCGAUAGCUAAGUCAGCCUCUCCCGAAUUGUGUUGCGAAUACUUAAGUGAUGGAAACGAAGAAAGAUAGUAAGAAGACAAGAGAGUUGGUAGAAGAAUACUUUAUUGGAUUUGUUGGUGAAUGAUUACAAAUGAGGUCCCUACCUCUAUUUAUACAAGACCACCUCCUCAAUGGACGGUGGAGAUCGAUAUGAUCUAACGGAUGGGAGUGGAACAAUCCCUUGAUUGUCUCUACCUACCACCACCUACCCUACCUACCAAAAAUAGCUCUACCUACCACUAUAGAAUUGGGCCAUCUUGGGCCUAACCCUACUUGGGCUACAACUUGGACUCUUUGUAACCUCCCCAACCCAAGGGAAAUCGGCAAGGGGUUUGGUCAAAACUAGCGGGCCGUGACAUCCUCCCCCGCCUAAUCCGGCGACGUCCUCGUUGCCUCGAACAAGUGGAGACGAUCUCGAAAUUUUCACAAGUCUUCAUUCGUCUUCCACGUUGCCUCGUACUUGGGUAAUUCAUUUGAUGAGGCUCCAGCCCUGCCGGUUGUUUAUUCUCCACCUUGUCUUGUUGGCAAACAAGACAAGUCUUCACACAUGCAUCGACACCGUCCCGCAUGUGAGGCCAAAAGUAGGCCGUCUCGAGCAACGUCAUUGUCCUCAUUUGGCCCGGAUGCCCCGCCCACUUGGUGUCGUGGCAUUCCUUUAUGAGGUCCUUCCUCAAGCUGCCCCACUUCGGAACGAAGAGUCGCUGCCCCUUCGUGUAGAGUAAGCCGUCCUCUACCCAAAAUUUUCUCGUCUUGCCCUCCUUGACGAGUCGAAUUAGCUCCUUGGUCAUUGGAUCAUGUUCGAGCCCUUCUCGGAUCAUGUCGGCCAAGUUCCCCCUUGUCGAGCUAAUCGUUGCGGGUUCGGCUUUUCUACUCAAUGCGUCGGCCACAACGCUUGCCUUCGAUGGUCGGAUUUCCCCCAUCUCGACCAACUCGGUGGCGUGGUCCACCUCCCUCCUAGGUGGAAGCUUGUUGG
Molecule: long non-coding RNA, 3219 nt
Filed under: Erythranthe guttata (spotted monkey flower)
Lineage: Eukaryota; Viridiplantae; Streptophyta; Magnoliopsida; Lamiales; Phrymaceae
Description: long non-coding RNA (EGUT_LNC002593)
Source: RNAcentral